RNAcentral lists this ribosomal RNA (450 nucleotides) under uncultured bacterium. RNAcentral describes it as "partial 16S ribosomal RNA". It matches the Rfam family "Bacterial small subunit ribosomal RNA", at positions 354 to 796 of the family's 1533-position model. The record is from RNAcentral.
GUGGGGAAUCUUCCACAAUGGACGAAAGUCUGACGGAGCAACGCCGCGUGAGUGAAGAAGGUUUUCGGAUCGUAAAGCUCUUUCGUUAGGGACGAACGUGCUCUUUGUGAAUAAUGAGGAGUAAUGACGGUACCUAAAUAAGAAGCCACGGCUAACUACGUGCCAGCAGCCGCGGUAAUACGUAGGUGGCAAGCGUUGUCCGGAAUUAUUGGGCGUAAAGCGCGCGCAGGCGGGAUAUCAAGUCUGUCUUAAAAGUGCGAGGCUCAACCUCGUGAGGGGACAGAAACUGGUAUUCUUGAGUGUCGGAGAGGAAAGUGGAAUUCCAAGUGUAGCGGUGAAAUGCGUAGAGAUUUGGAAGAACACCAGUGGCGAAGGCGACUUUCUGGACGAUGUCUGACGCUGAGGCGCGAAAGCUAGGGGAGCGAACGGGAUUAGAUACCCGAGUAGUCC